Molecule: ribosomal RNA, 747 nt
Filed under: uncultured bacterium
Lineage: Bacteria
Description: bacterial SSU rRNA
Rfam family: Bacterial small subunit ribosomal RNA
Source: RNAcentral
ACGCUGGCGGCAGGCCUAACACAUGCAAGUCGAGCGGCAGCACGGGUACUUGUACCUGGUGGCGAGCGGCGGACGGGUGAGUAAUGCCUAGGAAUCUGCCUGGUAGUGGGGGAUAACGCUCGGAAACGGACGCUAAUACCGCAUACGUCCUACGGGAGAAAGCAGGGGACCUUCGGGCCUUGCGCUAUCAGAUGAGCCUAGGUCGGAUUAGCUAGUUGGUGAGGUAAUGGCUCACCAAGGCGACGAUCCGUAACUGGUCUGAGAGGAUGAUCAGUCACACUGGAACUGAGACACGGUCCAGACUCCUACGGGAGGCAGCAGUGGGGAAUAUUGGACAAUGGGCGAAAGCCUGAUCCAGCCAUGCCGCGUGUGUGAAGAAGGUCUUCGGAUUGUAAAGCACUUUAAGUUGGGAGGAAGGGCAGUAAAUUAAUACUUUGCUGUUUUGACGUUACCGACAGAAUAAGCACCGGCUAACUCUGUGCCAGCAGCCGCGGUAAUACAGAGGGUGCAAGCGUUAAUCGGAAUUACUGGGCGUAAAGCGCGCGUAGGUGGUUCGUUAAGUUGGAUGUGAAAUCCCCGGGCUCAACCUGGGAACUGCAUUCAAAACUGUCGAGCUAGAGUAUGGUAGAGGGUGGUGGAAUUUCCUGUGUAGCGGUGAAAUGCGUAGAUAUAGGAAGGAACACCAGUGGCGAAGGCGACCACCUGGACUGAUACUGACACUGAGGUGCGAAAGCGUGGGGAGCAAAC